CCCUUAGAUGGUCUGGGCGGCACGCGCGCUACAAUGAUGCAUUCAAAAAGUCUUCUGACCUUAGAAGGUUGGGUAUUCUCCAAAGUGCAUCGUGAUGGGAAUAGUUUAUUGCAAUUUUUAAUCUUGAACGAGGAAUUCCUAGUAAGUACAGGUCAUCAACUUGUGUUGAUUGCGUCCCUGCCCUUUGUACACACCGCCCGUCGCUCCUACUGAUUGAGUGUCUCGGUGAAUUCUUUGAUCUUCUGUCGAUUCAGUUCACUGAUCCGACGGUGGAAAGUUGAAUGAACUUCGUCACUUAGAGGAAGGAGAAGUCGUAACA
This 319-nucleotide ribosomal RNA is filed under the name uncultured eukaryote. RNAcentral's name for it is "partial 18S ribosomal RNA". It matches the Rfam family "Eukaryotic small subunit ribosomal RNA", at positions 1470 to 1796 of the family's 1831-position model. The record is from RNAcentral.